Long non-coding RNA from Silurus meridionalis, 442 nucleotides. RefSeq lists it as uncharacterized. The transcript is spliced from 3 exons. NCBI's taxonomy places the organism in Eukaryota, Metazoa, Chordata, Actinopteri, Siluriformes, Siluridae. The record is from RefSeq and is a predicted model, not a curated record.
GUGUGUGUGUGUGUGUGUGUGUGUGUCACUUUUUUAGAUUUGAUUGGUCUUGGUUUAGGGUUUGGAUGUUCAGCAGAAGUGGGUUUGGGUUAGGGUUUGGAUGUUCAGCAGAAGUGGGUUUGGGUUAGGGUUUGGAUGUUCAGCAGAAGUGGGUUUGGGUUAGGGUUUGGAUGUUCAGCAGAAGUGGGUUUGGGUUAGGGUUUGGAUGUUCAGCAGAAGUGGGUUAGGGUUGGGGUUUGGAUGUUCAGCAGAAGUGGGUUAGGGUUUGGGUUAGGGCCUUUGGAUGUUCAGCAGAAGUGGGUUUGGGUUAGGGUUUGGAUGUUCAGCAGAAGUGGGUUGGGUUUGGAUGUUCAGCAGAAGUGGGUUAGGGUUGGGUUUGGAUGUUCAGCAGAAGUGGGUUUGGGUUAGGGCCUUUGGAUGUUCAGCAGAAGUGGGUUAGGGU